GAAUAUAUCAUUUAUUCGGUUGUUGUGAUCAUUUUCAACAUUGCCGCCGUCAUCUCUCCAUUGCAGUGCCGCAGUCGCACAAGGAUUGGCGCGCGCAUCCGUCGGCUCUUCCGGAUACCGGAAGUGUCUUCCAAAGAGACA
Molecule: non-coding RNA, 141 nt
Organism: Caenorhabditis elegans
Lineage: Eukaryota; Metazoa; Nematoda; Chromadorea; Rhabditida; Rhabditidae
Source: Ensembl